RNAcentral lists this ribosomal RNA (430 nucleotides) under uncultured bacterium. Its description in RNAcentral is "bacterial SSU rRNA". It matches the Rfam family "Bacterial small subunit ribosomal RNA", at positions 44 to 464 of the family's 1533-position model. The record is from RNAcentral.
GUGCCUAAUACAUGCAAGUUGAGCGCUGAAGGUUGGUACUUGUACCGACUGGAUGAGCAGCGAAUGGGUGAGUAAUGCGUGGGGAAUCUGCCUUUGAGCGGGGGACAACAUUCGGAAACGAAUGCUAAUACCGCAUAAAAACUUUAAACACAAGUUUUAAGUUUGAAAGAUGCAAUUGCAUCACUCAAAGAUGAUCCCGCGUUGUAUUAGCUAGUUGGUGAGGUAAAGGCUCACCAAGGCGGUGAUACAUAGCCGACCUGAGAGGGUGAUCGGCCACAUUGGGACUGAGACACGGCCCAAACUCCUACGGGAGGCAGCAGUAGGGAAUCUUCGGCAAUGGACGAAAGUCUGACCGAGCAACGCCGCGUGAGUGAAGAAGGUUUUCGGAUCGCAAAACUCUGUUGGUAGAGAAGAACGUUGAUGAGAGUGG